Molecule: ribosomal RNA, 400 nt
Filed under: uncultured bacterium
Lineage: Bacteria
Description: bacterial SSU rRNA
Rfam family: Bacterial small subunit ribosomal RNA
Source: RNAcentral
UGAGGAAUAUUGGUCAAUGGGUGCAAGCCUGAACCAGCCAUGCCGCGUGAAGGAUUAAGGUUCUAUGAAUUGUAAACUUCUUUUGUCAGGGAAAAAACCCUCGAACGUGUUCGAGGCUGAUGGUACCUGAAGAAUAAGGAUCGGCUAACUCCGUGCCAGCAGCCGCGGUAAUACGGAGGAUCCAAGCGUUAUCCGGAUUCACUGGGUUUAAAGGGUGUGUAGGCGGAGCAUUAAGUCAGUGGUGAAAUCCUGUCGCUUAACGACAGAACUGCCAUAGAAACUGAUGCUCUUGAAUGUGGUUGAGGUAAGCGGAAUGUGUAGUGUAGCGGUGAAAUGCUUAGAUAUUACACAGAACACCUAUUGCGAAGGCAGCUUGCUAAGCCAUGAUUGACGCUGAGAC